Molecule: non-coding RNA, 292 nt
Organism: Pelobates cultripes (western spadefoot toad)
Lineage: Eukaryota; Metazoa; Chordata; Amphibia; Anura; Pelobatidae
Source: the annotation of a GenBank genome assembly
CUUUUAGUUCAUCCUCCAUGGUUUCAGGGACCCCUCUUAUCCGUAGAUUAUUUCGUCUUCCCCGAUUAUCGAUAUCAUCUAGUUUCCUUUGUAAGGAAAGAAUAGCUUCGGUCUGCGAUCUUUGUAAUUUCCAACAUUCAGUCCACUGAUUUUCAUUUAUUUCUUGAUUAUCUUCCAAUGCACAAACCCUAUCUCCUAAAUGAUGUAUUUCUGUGGUGACAGCUUUUCAUUUUUUACCAAAACCAUGUUCAAUUUUUUAAAACAUAUCAAUCAAAUCCGAUUUAGAAGGUAG